Molecule: long non-coding RNA, 1179 nt
Filed under: Gorilla gorilla gorilla (western lowland gorilla)
Lineage: Eukaryota; Metazoa; Chordata; Mammalia; Primates; Hominidae
Description: lncRNA (ENSGGOG00000044469.1)
Source: RNAcentral
CUUAAUUUAUGGCUAGAAAUGGCAUUGAUAUGAACAUAAGGAGUGCUAUUUAUUAAUAUAUUGCUUUUCAUAAAUCAGUUCCUUUUUUGUAAUUAGGUAGAAACAGAACAGAAAGCCAUUCUUGAUUUUGGUGACUGGAGUUUGUGGAGGCUGGAAGUCUCUGCCAAUAAAAGCACUGAACCGGACACACACCACUUACCAAUCAAGUUGAUUCUCAAUGUUAGCACCGUGGCCUGGCAAGAUCGGACGUUUUCCGAGGAACCCGGCUGAGCUCCUGUGAGAGCUGCUCCCUGCACUGAUGUGGUCCCUUGGCUGGCAGGCUGCUCUGUGAUCAACCAGGUGACACCUGCCUGUUAUGAGGGACAGGUAGGAGAGGAUGGGCUUUCCAUCAAAACAAACAAACAAAAAAAAAGUCCCAAGAAGGAACUCGGCUCUUCAGAGAUUCAGGACUCGGGAGAAGACUUCGUGGUGACAGUUGACGUAGAAGUUGACAGCCCAAACCCCACACCAGUUCUUAGAAGUAUUGAUCUCCAAGAAAGAGCAGAAAGAGCUACAACUCCUGCUCCCAGGGACUUACAGGAUCUAAAAAAUGUUUGUGCAGCCAUCUGGACCUCAGUAUGAAGUGGUGUUAAAAGGUGAAGUCCAUUCUUCAGGAAGUAAACCUCUGCCACGUGGAUCAUGCUCAGACAUCCUAUUGAAGUUUGUCCAACAAUUUCUUGCUUUGGAAGGUGUCCCUCUUGGUGGAACACAGUAAGUGUCAAAGAUGGACAAAUAGUCAAUCCACUGUUUGUACAUGUAUUGGAGAAGAUCCCAAAUUAAUGUUUGGAGGACAAUUUUGUUGUAACAGACAGUGUUGAGGCUCAGUUGUACAGAACUGGAAAAGCCUUUAGAUGUGCAUGUGUCUAGAUUCAGCCUUUGUUUAACAUAUAUUCCAAUCCUGAUCCUGCCUUCGCCAGCUGCAAAGUACCUGACAUGUGACCACAGCACAGGAGCUGCUGAAGAGGGAGUAUUAUCACCUCAAACUCACAGCCACCUGGUAUUUUCAAGAGCCAGCCAAGAGAGAUACUUACAGAGAGCUGUGGAGAGAACAUGCAGUCCAUCCAGCAUCUCAUUCAGCUAAAUUUCUCAGUCUGUCACCCCGUGGUUUUAGCAGACCCCGCAGAAGUGGUUUUGAUGCUC